UACGAAGGGGGCUAGCGUUGUUCGGAAUUACUGGGCGUAAAGCGCACGUAGGCGGGUUUGUAAGUAGGGGGUGAAAUCCCAGGGCUCAACCCUGGAACUGCCUUCUAGACUGCAAGCCUGGAGGUCAGGAGAGGCGAGUGGAAUACCGAGUGUAGAGGUGAAAUUCGUAGAUAUUCGGUGGAACACCAGUGGCGAAGGCGACUCGCUGGACUGAUACUGACGCUGAGGUGCGAAAGCGUGGGGAGCAAACAGG
This 253-nucleotide ribosomal RNA is filed under the name uncultured bacterium. RNAcentral's name for it is "partial 16S ribosomal RNA". It matches the Rfam family "Bacterial small subunit ribosomal RNA", at positions 524 to 776 of the family's 1533-position model. RNAcentral also lists the same sequence under 1 other name. The record is from RNAcentral.